GGCCGGGUUCUGCGGAUGGAAAGACCUGUGAACCCCGUCAGGGCCGGAAGGCAGCAGCGGUAAGCAGGGAAUCCAUAGCGCAGUCAACCUGGCCUUU
RNAcentral lists this signal recognition particle RNA (97 nucleotides) under bacterium. Its description in RNAcentral is "signal recognition particle sRNA small type". It matches the Rfam family "Bacterial small signal recognition particle RNA". From Rfam's summary of the family: The signal recognition particle (SRP) is a universally conserved ribonucleoprotein involved in the co-translational targeting of proteins to membranes. Archaeal SRP consists of a 7S RNA and homologues of the eukaryotic SRP19 and SRP54 proteins. The record is from RNAcentral.